UACCAUGCAGUCGAACGGCAGCACGGGAGCAAUCCUGGUGGCGAGUGGCGAACGGGUGAGUAAUACAUCGGAACGUGUCCUGGAGUGGGGGAUAGCCCGGCGAAAGCCGGAUUAAUACCGCAUACGCUCUGAGGAGGAAAGGGGGGGAUCUUAGGACCUCUCGCUCAAGGGGCGGCCGAUGGCAGAUUAGCUAGUUGGUGGGGUAAAGGCCUACCAAGGCGACGAUCUGUAGCUGGUCUGAGAGGACGACCAGCCACACUGGGACUGAGACACGGCCCAGACUCCUACGGGAGGCAGCAGUGGGGAAUUUUGGACAAUGGGCGCAAGCCUGAUCCAGCAAUGCCGCGUGUGUGAAGAAGGCCUUCGGGUUGUAAAGCACUUUUGUCCGGAAAGAAAACACGCCUGUUAAUACCGGGUGUGGAUGACGGUACCGGAAGAAUAAGCACCGGCUAACUACGUGCCAGCAGCCGCGGUAAUACGUAGGGUGCAAGCGUUAAUCGGAAUUACUGGGCGUAAAGCGUGCGCAGGCGGUUCGUUAAGACAGAUGUGAAAUCCCCGGGCUUAACCUGGGAACUGCAUUUGUGACUGGCGGACUCGAGUAUGGCAGAGGGGGGUAGAAUUCCACGUGUAGCAGUGAAAUGCGUAGAGAUGUGGAGGAAUACCGAUGGCGAAGGCAGCCCCCUGGGCCAAUACUGACGCUCAUGCACGAAAGCGUGGGGAGCAAACAGGAUUAGAUACCCUGGUAGUCCACGCCCUAAACGAUGUCAACUGGUUGUCGGGUCUUCAUUGACUUGGUAACGAAGCUAACGCGUGAAGUUGACCGCCUGGGGAGUACGGUCGCAAGAUUAAAACUCAAGAAA
This 860-nucleotide ribosomal RNA is filed under the name Paraburkholderia caledonica. Its description in RNAcentral is "bacterial SSU rRNA". It matches the Rfam family "Bacterial small subunit ribosomal RNA", at positions 52 to 908 of the family's 1533-position model. Lineage: Bacteria; Pseudomonadati; Pseudomonadota; Betaproteobacteria; Burkholderiales; Burkholderiaceae. The record is from RNAcentral.